UGUAAACAGCUGUUAAACUGUUCCGUAUUUAGUUAUCGGCAGAACUUGUUAUCGAAAACGCUGACCAAUAUUCAACUCCGCUGUCCGAAUUGAAAUAGUCGUUAAAUUAGUUUACCAUUUAAAUAUCUCAUUAAAUCGUUGAAUUACCUUGGCCAACAAAACGACUAGACAAGACUAGUGGACAUUUAUAAAAUCGGAGGAGGAAUUGCCAAUAGAUCUCUGCACCAAGCUGAGAACUUAAUGGCGCAUUAUUGUUGCUUACUAGACGUGAUAUUUUAACUAUUGCUUUGCUAAUUUAAUAAUUAUUAAGUGAUAGUUUGACUCCAGAGAUGUGCAUCCAAAGUUCUAGUGUCUGGAGUGAUCCAAUAAGCUGCGCAUAGUGGCCAUAACUGCUGGAUGAUGGUUCUCCCUUGCCAGAGAAGGAACUCUGCUGGAUAGGAUUGCCUGAUAAAAAUCACUGAAGUUUCGGGGCUAGUUGCCAGAUUUUUGACACUGCCGGUACAUUAAAAAAGGCCAUGCCUCUAUUACCAUAUACGAUUGUGAGAAGUGCAGCGGGUUUUAUAAAGAACUCGGGGCUUUCAGAGUCAGAGCUGCUUCAAUCAUGGAUCGCAGAAAAGUACCCUUAUUACUCCUGCACCAUCUGGGAUGUGCUCCUACGCCUGCGUCCACUGGAACCGGUGUCACGAGCGCAUUCACACCGAUGACCUUUAGUCGGGCGGGGCAGCUCUGAAAGCACGAGAGGCGUCACAAUGAUAAGCUGGAGACGCCGAUUUUGGCCAGUGCACUCUGAGUCGCGGUCAAGCUCACAACCGUUCCUAUUCGCAAACCGACAAGAUGUUCCGAAUUAACAUUCGAGAAACAAAAACAAAACCACCUAAACCCUAAUGUGUAUGUCUUUUCAAUCUGUUGUAACCCUGUUGUGUGUAAUUUCUAAUGUAAAAAACUUGAAUCAACGGCAGCUAUAGCUAGGGAACAUAAUAAUUGUGUAUUAACAGCUUUUAACGUUGUUAUUUAAUUGAAUUUUAUUUAUAUAUAAAUGUUUUUAAAAUAAUUUCAAACGUAA
Drosophila gunungcola (fruit fly) is the source of this 1063-nucleotide long non-coding RNA. RefSeq lists it as uncharacterized. The record is from RefSeq and is a predicted model, not a curated record. Lineage: Eukaryota; Metazoa; Arthropoda; Insecta; Diptera; Drosophilidae. The transcript is spliced from 2 exons.